UUUCUGUUCCUGCAGCAGCGGUGCUGAGCGAAGUGGGAGCUUUGAAAAAUUAAAUAGUACUUCCUAGACCCAUCAAGAAGGAGAAUGUCUGUGACACUGCAUACAGACGUGGGGGAUAUCAAGAUAGAAGUCUUCUGUGAGAGGACACCCAAAACAUGUGAGAAUUUCUUGGCUCUUUGUGCCAGUAAUUACUACAACGGCUGUGUGUUUCAUAGAAAUAUCAAGGGCUUCAUGGUUCAAACAGGAGAUCCAACAGGUACUGGAAGAGGAGGUAGCAGUAUAUGGGGCAAGAAGUUUGAGGAUGAAUACAGUGAAUAUCUGAAGCACAAUGUUCGAGGUGUUGUAUCUAUGGCUAAUAAUGGCCCAAAUACCAAUGGAUCUCAGUUCUUCAUCACCUAUGGCAAGCAGCCGCACUUGGACAUGAAAUAUACAGUGUUUGGGAAGAUAAUAGAUGGUCUGGAGACUUUGGAUGAAUUGGAGAAGUUACCA
Molecule: RNA transcript, 489 nt
Organism: Grammomys surdaster
Lineage: Eukaryota; Metazoa; Chordata; Mammalia; Rodentia; Muridae
Gene name: peptidyl-prolyl cis-trans isomerase-like 3 pseudogene
Exons: 1
Source: RefSeq, a predicted model, not a curated record